CUUUGGCAGCCGCGGUGCUCGGAGCCGGCGCUUUGCUUGCUGUGCACAGUAGACAGAGCAGAGGACCGAGCUUUCCCAGAGCCUGGGUUUCUUCGGUCGCACAGCCUGCUGGUGAAGGCUGCAUGAGAUAAAGACUUAGAUGGAACCCUGUCAUUUGGACCCUGUGAUCUCUGAAUUUGUGUAAAACUUAUCCAAAUAGGAUUGUUUUGCCUCCCUUCCCACUAAUACAAUUGGAGACAUUGAAGUAUUCUAAGGAUUGCUUUGGAUGGGCGUCCUGAAAUUUUAUCUGGGACAAAAAUGGGCAUUUCUGAGCCACGCUAGCACUGAGCUACCUUCAAGCCUUUCCUGAAAGCAUAGGCACCCAAGGCUGCUCGAAGGUCAAGGACUUGGCUGCUGGCUGCAUCAUAAGACCUCUGAAUCUCCGGCCUUUUCCUCCCAUUCUUUGCCAGUGCUCACUACAUUUACAAGGGAGUCUGGAGGACAGGAAUCCCCACGCCCACAGCUGGGCAACAAGGUCAAGGGUGUCAAAAUCCAGGCCCAGAAAAGCGGCAAAACCAGGUGGGCAACACCAGGACCAGCUGCAAUGACUAAGGCGCUGACCAAGCCGUAGAGACCAUGACCCUGAAAGGGCACACCUGGAAAACUGAUGAGUAUUCUGCUGAAACCCUCCCUGCGACCGCCCCUAAGAUUCCCGCCUGCAAGAGACAGGCUGGACACACCCUGGCAGAACCAACCCAUGGGGAUGCUGCUCUUUGAUCUGCCCCUUCACACACUUCUUUCAGAGAUGAUGGCAAUUCGUCUUCACUCCUGAUGCUAUCACCUGGAGUUGGCACAGACUCAUGGGUUAAGGGCACGGUCCCUCAUAAGACUGCUCUCAGUUCAGAUGCCAGGCACAAGUUCAGAGAUGCCCAGGCUACCCACACUUCUGACCAACUGGCUACAAAUUUGGUCAGUUACCUAAGUGCCCGGGUUGAGCGUCCCUGAACACACCUUGCUGUUGUAGACCCUGCACAUGCUGUUCCCUCUGCCUACCUUUGUUUUCUCCUUGGUCUGUCCAGUGAAGUCCCCCUCAUCUGUCAAGACACAGAACGUGUCCUCUGGCCCUCCUUCGCUGUCCUUUCUGGCACCUCACUCCUCAUGCUCUGGCACAGUGGCAGUUCAUCGUUACAGACAUCCCCCUUAGCUUCUGAUGGGUGAGCAAAGCGACCAUCGAAGAUCUUGUGGCUGACAGUCCUGCCCGGCCAUUCGUGCUUUGGCGAACUCGUGGAUAACAUUGCUGAGAUGACACAGCCGCAUUUUCGCAUUUUCAAAGAAUGGUCCAAUGAUGCCUCCAGCCCCAAAAUCCGCACCAAACAAUGACACGUUGUGGAUGCAUUUGUUU
Molecule: long non-coding RNA, 1381 nt
Organism: Myotis daubentonii (Daubenton's bat)
Lineage: Eukaryota; Metazoa; Chordata; Mammalia; Chiroptera; Vespertilionidae
Source: RefSeq, a predicted model, not a curated record